AGUGAACGCUGGCGGUAGGCCUAACACAUGCAAGUCGAACGGCAGCACAGUAAGAGCUUGCUCUUACGGGUGGCGAGUGGCGGACGGGUGAGGAAUACAUCGGAAUCUACUUUUUCGUGGGGGAUAACGUAGGGAAACUUACGCUAAUACCGCAUACGACCUACGGGUGAAAGCAGGGGAUCUUCGGACCUUGCGCGAUUGAAUGAGCCGAUGUCGGAUUAGCUAGUUGGCGGGGUAAAGGCCCACCAAGGCGACGAUCCGUAGCUGGUCUGGAAGGAUGAUCAGCCACACUGGAACUGAGACACGGUCCAGACUCCUACGGGAGGCAGCAGUGGGGAAUAUUGGACAAUGGGCGCAAGCCUGAUCCAGCCAUACCGGGUGGGUGAAGAAGGCCUUCGGGUUGGAAAGCCCUUUUGUUGGGAAAGAAAAGCGGCAGGUUAAUACCCCGCUGUUCUGACGGUACCCAAAGAAUAAGCACCGGCUAACUUCGUG
Molecule: ribosomal RNA, 492 nt
Filed under: uncultured bacterium
Lineage: Bacteria
Description: partial 16S ribosomal RNA
Rfam family: Bacterial small subunit ribosomal RNA
Source: RNAcentral